CCCACGCAAUCUCAAAUUCCUAACUCUCAAACAGCAGCUGUAUAUAAUGAAUUCACAAAUCACUCUCUAGGUAUAUCCCGACUGCGGCAUCGGGUAAUUAUUCCGGCGCCCUUUUGGAUAGAAGGACUCGAGAUGUGGUGCAGCCACUGUCUCAUAAGGUGUGUCCCGGACAUAACAGCCGGCACCAAGUCUUGUCCAGAAUGCGGGAAGAUUUUGGGCUACGUCAAGGUCCGAAAAAUCAGCAAGAGACAGAAGAAGCCCAUGCCGAAGAGGAUCAAGAACAAAACCACUGCCCAGAUUGUUGCGGAAGACGGAAAAAAUCACCCGGCAUGAGUCUUAUUUAAAGGACUUCAUCGUUUGUGGAUGCAUUGACACUAUGACUAGGAAAACCGAAAACGAUGAUGAUUAUAGUUUUAAGGAUGUGAAUCGUUGCCUCGGAGCCGACUGGUAUUGUCAUGAUCUAUGCGAUACACGUUUAGCUUGAUUACUCCUUUCUUUAUGUAAUUAUUAAGAUGCUUUUAGCUAACAUGCGUUUUACUGUCCUAAUUCUUCUCAUGCUGAUCGAUCCGAUACCGUACAUCGACCAAUGUAAUUCAUACCCGAAAGUAUGCCAGGAGAGCCUGAGUCCCCAAUCGUUCCGAUAAUACAAUAUCUCUGAAUACAAAUUGCCAGCUA
Molecule: non-coding RNA, 675 nt
Organism: Punica granatum (pomegranate)
Lineage: Eukaryota; Viridiplantae; Streptophyta; Magnoliopsida; Myrtales; Lythraceae
Source: RefSeq, a predicted model, not a curated record